Molecule: long non-coding RNA, 3461 nt
Organism: Ictalurus punctatus (channel catfish)
Lineage: Eukaryota; Metazoa; Chordata; Actinopteri; Siluriformes; Ictaluridae
Source: Ensembl
UGUGUGUGUGUGUAUGUGUGUGUGAGACUCUGACUCAGUCUGUUUGUGCUGCUAAAUGCUGCCCUGGUGGCUCCACUGGAAAACACAACCUAACACUGAUAAACUUCAUCUGUUUUCCACACACAGCCACCUGGAUGUGCAUUACAUAAACACUCACAUUAACAGUCAUAACUCUGAAGUGAGUCUGUAGUUGUAAGAAGUUUGUCUAGUUAUGGAUUUGCUUCUAUCACUUUAUGUGACCAAUGUUGUGGGUCUGCACUUGGUUUUUAAGUUUGUUUUGCAGGUCUGUAGUUGUGGGUGUGUUGUUUUGGAGUUCUGUUCUUCUGAACUUUUGAAUCUGUAUUUGUAGAUGUGUAGUAGCCACAUAAUUGCUGUAGUUGUGGGUCUGUAGCUCUUUUGGUUGGUAUUUGUGGUUGUGUAGUUGCUGCCUAUUCCUGUGACUCUGUAGUUGUGGGUCUGUGGUUAUUUGGCUCUGUAGUCCUGUAGAUCUGUGGGUAUGUGGCUUUGCAGUUCUGUGGGUCUGUGGCUUUGUGGUCUUGUACUUCUGUGGGCCUGUAGUUCUUUAGGUUGUUAGUUGUGGUUGUGUAGUUGCUGCAUAGUUCUGUGGCUCUGUACUUGUGGGUUUGCAGUUGUAUGUCUGUAGUCCUGUGGCUCUGUAGUUGUGGCUCCGUAGUCCCAUGGCUCUGUAGUCUCAUGAAUCUGUAGUCCUGUAGUCCCAUGGCUCUAUAGUCCUGUGGCUCUGUAGUUGUGACUCUAUAGUCCUGUGGACCUGUAGUCCCUCCCAUGGCUCUUUAGUCCUGUACUCCUGUGGCUCUGUAAUUCUGUACUCCUGUGGCUCUGUAAUUGUGGUUCUGUAGUCCUGUAGUCCCAUGGCUUUAUAGUCCUGUAGUCCCGUGGCUCUAUAAUCCUGUAGUCCCAUGGCUCUGUAGUCCUGUAGCUCUGUAAUUGUGGCUCUGUAGACCUUUAGUCCCAUGAUCCUAUAGUCCUGUAGUCCCAUGGCUUUGUAGUCCUGUGGCUCUGUAGUUCUGUAGUCCCAUGGCUCUGUAGUCCUGUUGACCUGUGGCUCUAUAGUUCUGUAGUCCCGUUGACCUGUGGCUCCAUAGUUCUGUAGUCCCAUGGCUCUGUAGUCCCGUUGACCUGUGGCUCUAUAGUUCUGUAGUCACGUUGACCUGUGGCUUUAUAGUCUUGUAAUUUUGUGGCUCUAUAGUCCUGUAGUCCCAUGGCUCUAUAGUCCUGUAGUCCCAUGGCUCUGUAGUCCUGUAGUCCCAUGGCUCUAUACUCCUGUAGUCCCAUGGCUCUGUAGUCCUGUAGUUCCGUGGCUCUGUAAUUGUGGCUCUUUAGUCCUGUAGUCCCAUGGGUCUAUAGUCCUGUAGUCCCAUGGCUUUGUAGUCCCGUGGCUAUGUAGUCCUGUGUCUCUGUAGAGUCCCUGGAGCAGAGAGAGGGUUAGGGCCUUGCUCAAGGGCCCAACUGUGGGAGCUUGGUGGCCACUGUUAAUUUGAACCCCCGACCUUCUGAUCAAUAACCCAGAGACUUAACCACCACCCUAGUUCAGUGGUUCUGUAGUUCUGUGGGUUCUCUUGGGUAGUUCAGUAUUUACGGGUCUGUAUUUGUAGGUACAUAGUUGCUGUGUAAUUCUCUGAGUCUGCAGUUGCUAUGCUUCUGAAGGAUAUGUAAUUAUGUUUGGAGUCUGUAAGUUUGUUUUGGGUUCUGUAGUUGUGUAUUUCUGUGAAUAUGUGGUUAGGAGUGCAGUUGUUGUGUGGUACUGUGAUUCUGUAGUUACUGAGUAGUUGUGUGGGCUUGUAACUGUGAGUCUACAGUUGUGUAGUUUUUGAGUGUAUUGGAUAUGCUCAUAAUUAUUUUUAGGCCAGCUUUGCAGCUGUGGUUCUGUAAUGCAGUGAGUCUACAGAUGUGUGGAGAUGUUUUUAGAGGAUUUUGAGAGCGCUACCUAAUGUGCUGUUAUGUGUGUGUGUGUGUGUGUGUGUGUGUGUGUGUGUGUGUGUGUACUCAGUGGAAGGUGUGAGGUGAAUCAGUGGGUGUAGGAGGUGCUGAAUCGCUCACAUGGCUAGCGGUCAUGGACUGUCUUCACACACACACACACACACACACACACACACACACACACACACACACACACACACACAUCAGAGGCUGAUUUACAUCUUAUUUUUUAGCUCUUGUUUUGUGUCCUCUAUGUGCCCUUUGGUAAAGUCUUCAUCACUGUUGGUUGUUGAGCGCAGCAUGUAGUAUAAUGAAGAGAAACAUAUUCAAAUGUGUCCUCAAGUGUUCUUAAUUUGUUACUGAGCAGAGAUGAGGCUGCAGAUUAUUAAACAGCUGAUUUAACUGGGUACAGUUGACUACCUGAUCUUAUCCUCUGUCACCUAAAGCUUAUAUGAUGUGGAGCAUCUGUAGGUGGUGCAUACAUCAUGUCUGUAGUUGUGGGUUCUAGUCUGUCUGUAGUUCAGUGGGGUCAGUGGUAACAUGACGAUUAAGGCUCUGGGUUACUGGUUGGAAGGUUGGGGGUUCAAGCCCCAGCACUGCCAAGCUGUCACUGUUGGGCCCUUGAGCAAGGCCCUUAACCCUCUUUGCUACAAAGGGGUGCUGUAUCAUGGCUGACCCUGCACUCUGACCCCAACCUCCUAACACGCUCAGGUAUGCGAAGAAAAAGAAUUUCACUGUGCUGUAAUGUAUGUGUGACCAAUAAAGACUCAUUAUCAUUAUGUUGUUCUCUGUUUGAAGUUGCCCUGUGGGUCUGUAGUUGGUGUGUAGUUUGUUAGAUAUAUGGUUAGUCUGUACUUGUUGGGUUUUUUAGUUCUGUAGUUAGUGUGUAAUUGUUUUGAUGUAUAGUUGUGGGUCUGGCAUGCAUUGGCAUAUAUUUCUUUAAGUAUUUGUAUUUGUGAAUCAGUAGUUGGUCUGUGGGUCAGCAGUUAGUGUUUAAUUGUGGGUCUUAUGGCAGUGCUGAUUGUGGAGGGGAUAAUACCCACUUUCUGUAUCAAGGAUGACACCUUACGGGCCACUGGCUUAUAUAGACAGUGUAGCUAGUUACAUGCUAGAUAGAUGUCAAGAUGAAACAGGACAGAGAGCAUGUAGAACCCAGUGUGUGUCUGGGUGUGAAGGAUGAUUCAGAAAGGAGACAGGUGAACUUUACUCAGAGAUUCAGGCUCCCUUUAUUGUUCUUUUUUCCCACAGUGUUCUUUUUCUUCAUCGCACAUACCCAUAAACUAAAACUUCAGUGCAGGAGCAUGGUAGGGAGCAGACUCCGCUCGGUCUCGGUCUCACUGUCGUCUAUGGUGUUUCUGCAAAAAUAAACAAAGCACAUCUACUGAUGAUAACUCCCUGUUUUUCCAGUUUGGACCAUCCAUUGAGCAGCAGGCCUCAGUGAUGUUGAACAUUAUGGAGGAAUAUGACUGGUACAUUUUCUCCAUUGUCACCACCUACUACCCCGGAUACCAGGACUUUGUCAC